This 497-nucleotide ribosomal RNA is filed under the name uncultured bacterium. Its description in RNAcentral is "partial 16S ribosomal RNA". It matches the Rfam family "Bacterial small subunit ribosomal RNA", at positions 28 to 507 of the family's 1533-position model. The record is from RNAcentral.
GAUGAACGCUGGCGGCGUGCCUAAUACAUGCAAGUCGAGCGAAAACACGAGGACCUUGCUUCUCUGACGUUAGCGGCGGACGGGUGAGUACCAAAUGGAUCACCUACCUGUAGGACAGGGAUCACUACGGGAAAUCGUAGCUAAUACCGGAUAAUAUAUUGAACCGCAUGGUUCACAAGUGAAAUACGGUUUUGCUGUCACUUAUAGCUGGUUCCGCGCCGGAUUAGCUAGUUGGUAAGGUAACGGCUUACCAAGGCAACGAUGCGUAGCCGACCUGAGAGGGUGAUCGGCCACACUGGAACUGAGACACGGUCCAGACUCCUACGGGAGGCAGCAGUAGGGAAUCUUCCGCAAUGGGCGAAAGCCUGACCGAGCAACGCCGCGUGAGGGAUGAAGGUCUUCGGAUCGUAAAACGCUGUUAUUAGGGAAGAACAAAUGUGUAAGAAACUAUGCACGUCUUGACGGUACCUAAUCAGAAAGCCACGGCUAACUACGUG